CACAAUAGGCAGUAGCAAGACAGCAAACGCCACUUCAAGACUGAAUUUCUGAAACUGGCCCUUUAGCUGAGAGUGGCCAUCCUUGCCGGGGCGGGCGAUUUACUAGUUUACUAACAUUGUUACCAGGCAGCAGCCCUGGCAGCAUUUUACUAAAUCCUCAACAAGAAAACUCGCAACUCGUCUGAAGUUUCAGUUUGUUUGUUGUUACUGGAGUUAUAUCAGGGAGUUCUUUUCUAUGCCAGACUGGAGUUCAGAUUUAAAUCUUGCCCAACUCAAAAGCAAGCGCACAGGAAACACGAACCUCGCCGCCGUGAGAGCAGCCUGAGUGAGCCAGCACUCACCAAGGAAAGGGCUGCAGGUUCGCUUGAGAGUGAGGAUCAGCCGAAUUCCUCACGCUGCUCACUGAGACUUCCCCUCACUGAGACUUCACGCUCCUCACUGUCGGCUAUCGGCCGACAGAAGAUCUCACAUCCAAGUCACAAAGACUCAGAACCUUCUUCAACAAGAAACGUCACUUACAACGUGUUUGCUUCUCCAUCUCUAAGCUCAAAGUGCCCCGUUUCUCUACAGCAAAUUAGACUUUUUGCCUACUUUGGUGCUGAGAAGCCCAAACUACCAACCAAAGCUUUGGUUUUCUCUGAGGGCUGUCGGUACAGACGAGAGGCCGGGAUUGUUCUCUAGCAACCCCUGCCGGUUGACAAUAAAUGCCAGAAACUGACCCAGAGGCAUUAGUUCAUCCCCACGUUGGAGGGAAGUAAAAAAUGUCAGGCUGAGGGAGAGCAGGUAGCACCUGAACGGCUAAAACGUAGAUACGUCCGUGACCCAACUUCAACCAACCACGCAACGUCAAUGACCCAGGGGAUGCUGGAGCAACAGGAAGGAAGGAAUUGAUUGAACAAUCACGUGGAGCAAAGCCACGUUGUUAUUUAGGGCUACUACUUAAAUCAGAGAUCAUCUCUGUCUUCUUUAAGCCACUUCAGUUUGGAGGCUUUUUGUUCUAACAGAGUUCAUCCAUCAUACAAGAUUGAUGAUCCCUGCAGAAGUUAAAAGUCUAGGAAUAAGAAAUUUGCACUUUAAAGAAGUCUUUCCUUUGUCUUACGGCUUCCAGAAUUCCUGAUGAGGAGUCUGCUAUCAAUCUUAUCUUGUGGCUUUGAAGUGAUAAUGUCAUUCUCACCUGUAAUCCCAGCACUUUGGGAGGCUGAGGCC
RNAcentral lists this long non-coding RNA (1206 nucleotides) under Homo sapiens (human). Its description in RNAcentral is "HSALNT0337239". The record is from RNAcentral. Lineage: Eukaryota; Metazoa; Chordata; Mammalia; Primates; Hominidae.